CUGGACACGCCCUUCCUGUUCUUCUGUAGAAUUCUCUACUUAAUAAUGUUGAUGUGUUAUUGAUGGUUCUUUAAAUAUGGAUGUCAUUCUGCUUUUCAGGAACAGACUUUUUUUUACUGGCCUGAGGAUUAUGAUGACGGGUACGGGGCCCAACAAAUAAAUGGCCAGUACAUUGCCCAACUGCUUCAGGACCAAACAACGUUCACUGACGACCAUGACGGGGCUCCAACCUAUGCAGACCUGACAACCAUUGAUGUCUUGUCUAUUGCAGAGGACUGCCACCCACAAAAUCCUUGCCCUACAACCAUCAACCCCAUUCCUAAUGAUGUGCACAUGCAGGCCCAACAACAUAUUGAGCUCCAAACCUUCAUCCCAUCGGCUGUGUCUGCUAUGACAGUAAGAUCUCUGUUUAACACAGUUCUUAAUGUAUUUCUGUAGAUCUUUGUAUUGAUACUAUGAUGGGAACUCUAAUAUUCACAUGUUUUUGUGUCUCCAGUAUAAUGGACUUCCAGUGUUCACUGCAGGGAUGGAUCCACUUCCCACUUUUGGAGGACAGUAAGUAAAGCAAACAAACAGACUUGUUCAAACGCAGACGUUACUUCACAUGUGACAUGAUUUCUGAUCCAGUGUGUUUGUGUUUUAAUCUUUGUAGGAAUGAGAAUGACUGUGUUUCAAUCGUGCAACCAGAACCCCCAGCAGUCCCAGCAGUCCCAGCAGUCCCAGCAGUCCCAGCCCCCCCAGUGAAGGCCCCAGUCUUAAAGUGAGUUUCCUGCAGUUGUUUUCAUCGUACAUGUCUUUCUUGUGACUGACUCUGGAUCAUGCUCUGCUCACUGUUAACAUGUGCUCUUAUACUGUGUAUUUGUGUUUUGUUCCUUCAGAAAGGUGAACAAGCGUAAGGCAGAGAAGGUGGAAGAGGGGCUGUACAUAAAAAAGCCCCCCAAUGCCUUCAUGCUGUUUCUCAAAGAGCACAGGAAGUCUGCGGAGGAAGAUCUGGGCGUGAGGACGAGCGCUGUCGUCAACAAAUUCCUCGGUGAACGGUGGAAGUCAUUGCCAGCGGAGGACAAAGAUCAGUAUAAUACUGAGGCCAAACGUUGUGCUUUGCUCCACCACGAGCAGAACCCCGGCUGGACCAACAAGAAGAACUAUGCAAAGAAAAGGAGACUAAUUCGGAGAGUGGGCGUGUCCACGUGUUAGAGACGUUGGUCCUGCUACGUCACUGGAACUACGGCUGAAAUCUAUGGAAUCAGGACAAUAUCACAAUGAAUUAACUCACGCAGGGUUUUUCAGAAAUGCACAUGCUUGGUUUCACAGUUUUAUUUCAGACUCACAAACGCACAUGAUCUGUUUUGUAAAUAUAUAUUUCAUUCAAACUUGUAACAUAAAUUCUGAAAUGCACACUCUACUUCACAAAUAUUAUUUUGAGGCACACAUGUAAUAUAAAUCCACAGAUAAUGCAAAUUGCUGUUUCAUCCGCUAACGUUAAGUUUUAUGUGUUUUGUUUUAGGCAAAGAAAAGGAAACUAAUUCGGAGAGUGGGCGUGUCCUCGUGUUACACGUUUGUCCUGCUACGACACUGGAACUAUGGCUGAAGUCUGAGUCCAGAGAUACGUCCGGAUGCUGCAGUCGUUCUGAAAUCCACCCUUGCUUAAACUUCUUGGAGUCAUUUUUGGAAGCUGAUGAUUCAACAGCUUCUGUCACCG
Molecule: long non-coding RNA, 1699 nt
Organism: Gouania willdenowi (blunt-snouted clingfish)
Lineage: Eukaryota; Metazoa; Chordata; Actinopteri; Blenniiformes; Gobiesocidae
Source: Ensembl